AUCCAGCUGACGAGUCCCAAAUAGGGCGAAACGCGCGUUAAACUGAAU
This 48-nucleotide non-coding RNA is filed under the name Schistosoma mattheei. Lineage: Eukaryota; Metazoa; Platyhelminthes; Trematoda; Strigeidida; Schistosomatidae. The record is from RNAcentral.